CCCUCAGAUCUUGCAGCCAGGGAAGCAGAUGUCCGAGGCCCACCCGAGCCGGCCUCCCUCCUCCGGGAGGAAGCCGCGAGCAGGGCCUGCCAGCUGUUGGGCUCCCUGGGCUCUGGCCCUGGUGGACUCUGUGUGCCAGGCGCCAGGUGCCAGAGGAGGCCUCCAGCUGGGGCUUUUUCCAGUCACCGGCGAUGUUUCCAAGGCGGGGAGCCGGAGGGGAGCGAAGCCGGAGCCGCACGCAGGCAGCCCCAGACUCAGGUGGGGCUGCGAGCGCUUCCCGGUGGACCGGCCGGCAGCUGCCGCCGCAGGGUCUCCAUGGUGACUCUGACAGGCUGCGCUGCAGAGCAGGGGGCCGGGGUCACAGCCCUCAGAUCUCCCUGGCAGCCAGGUUCAAAGCUGGGCUCCGGGGCGGAGGCGGGAGAGCUGAAAAGUGCUCGGGAGGGAGAAGAAAUCUGGGCUUUACAAACUCCAGCCAUUGUUCUUAGGAAUAAAAUCAAACUCAUUACUCGGGGUAUGGUGUGAGAGAGAACGUAACCUAACCUCAAAAUAGCCGAAUUCCAAGCGAUUUUUGCUAGUCUCUGGUCUUUCAGGUGCUUGGCCGAAAUUCUUACAGGGUGGUUUACAUCCAUCUUGGCUAAGGUGAGGAAUGAGUAAUAAACUCCCUUGUCAAAACUCUUCUGCUAUUUGUUUGUAUGGUUUUGUUUUUGGUACCAGGCAUCAAAUUCCAGUCCUUGUGCCUGCGAGGCAGGCGCCAGAACCACUGAGCUAAAUUCCUGGUCCCUCUCUUCUGCUUUUUUUAUGGCCAAUCAAAUCUUGCAGCUAAGAACUCUCAUUAUUUUAAACAGAGGCUUUUCCUGACUGAACACCUUUCUUUUUUCCUUUAGAAUGUCGCUGACAUAUCUGUUCAGUGAAUUAUCAUUAACAGAUUUGUUGGACUGCUGCGAAGUCCACUCACCAAGAAAGCUGAGGAAAGCAAGCAAAGAAUUAGAGGGAAAAGUAGGAGACACCUUACCACUUAUCAGAAAGAGGAUCGGCACCCAGUAUUCAUUUUAAAGUAUUACUUUUAGCAUCUUUUGAAGGCUUAUUUUCCAGGUCUUUAACCACCUGUACUACUCUUCCCUGAACCCCUUCUGGUUUUUAGCACCCUUUGUAAAGGGUGUGAAUCAAAGCGAUCCUUCUUUCUAACUGGGACUUGGACCGCUACAGCGUAAAGGUGUCAUAGAAGAGUUACCUCCAGGAGGUUGGUCUGCUUUGCCGUGGCUGUCACCAGGCCCACCUGCUUUAUUUAAUAACAUUAAAUGACAUUAACUCCUCAUUGUGUUUCCAGCUCGUGGUCAGCUAGAAC
RNAcentral lists this long non-coding RNA (1345 nucleotides) under Fukomys damarensis (Damara mole-rat). RNAcentral describes it as "lncRNA (ENSFDAG00000030703.1)". Lineage: Eukaryota; Metazoa; Chordata; Mammalia; Rodentia; Bathyergidae. The record is from RNAcentral.